Molecule: ribosomal RNA, 382 nt
Filed under: Clusia flava (in: flies)
Lineage: Eukaryota; Metazoa; Arthropoda; Insecta; Diptera; Clusiidae
Description: Clusia flava (Meigen, 1830) partial 16S ribosomal RNA
Source: RNAcentral
UCGAAGGUAGCAUAAUCAGUAGUCUUUUAAUUAAAGGCUGGAAUGAAUGGUUGGACGAAAUAUUAACUGUUUCAUUUAAAUUUAUUUUUGAAUUUUAUUUUUUAGUUAAAAAGCUAAAAUAUAAUUAAAAGACGAGAAGACCCUAUAAAUCUUUAUAUUUAAAUUUAAUUUAAUUGUAAAGAUUAAUUUUGUUAAAAUAAUUUUAAAUAUUUUAUUGGGGUGAUAAUAAAAUUUAAUAAACUUUUAUUUAAAGAUUCAUUGAUUUAUGAUAUUUUGAUCUAUUAUUAAUGAUUAUAAGUUUAAGUUACUUUAGGGAUAACAGCGUAAUUUUUUUGGAGAGUUCUUAUCGAUAAAAAAUAUUGCGACCUCGAUGUUGGAUUAA